RNAcentral lists this ribosomal RNA (864 nucleotides) under Hymenopleella agaves. Its description in RNAcentral is "Hymenopleella sp. ICS-2021a partial large subunit ribosomal RNA". It matches the Rfam family "Eukaryotic large subunit ribosomal RNA", at positions 56 to 951 of the family's 3401-position model. The record is from RNAcentral. Lineage: Eukaryota; Fungi; Ascomycota; Sordariomycetes; Amphisphaeriales; Sporocadaceae.
GGUAGCAGACCAACAGGGAUUGCCCUAGUAACGGCGAGUGAAGCGGCAACAGCUCAAAUUUGAAAUCUGGCCUUCGGGUCCGAAUUGUAAUUUGUAGAGGAUGCUUUUGGUGCGGUGCCUUCCGAGUUCCCUGGAACGGGACGCCUUAGAGGGUGAGAGCCCCGUACGGUUGGACGCCUAGCCUCUGUAAAGCUCCUUCGACGAGUCGAGUAGUUUGGGAAUGCUGCUCAAAAUGGGAGGUAAAUUUCUUCUAAAGCUAAAUACCGGCCAGAGACCGAUAGCGCACAAGUAGAGUGAUCGAAAGAUGAAAAGCACUUUGAAAAGAGGGUUAAAUAGCACGUGAAAUUGUUGAAAGGGAAGCGUUUAUGACCAGUCUUAUUCCUGGCGGAUCAUCUAGUGUUCUCACUGGUGCACUUCGCCUGGUAUAGGCCAGCAUCGGUUUCCGUAGGGGGAUAAAAGCUUCGGGAAUGUAUCUCCUCCGGGAGUGUUAUAGCCCGUUGUAUAAUACCCUUAUGGGGACCGAGGUUCGCGCUCUGCAAGGAUGCUGGCAUAAUGGUCAUCAACGACCCGUCUUGAAACACGGACCAAGGAGUCGAACAUUUGUGCGAGUGUUUGGGUGUUAAACCCUCACGCGUAAUGAAAGUGAACGGAGGUGAGAGCCUUAGGGUGCAUCAUCGACCGAUCCUGAAGUUUUCGGAUGGAUUUGAGUAAGAGCAUAACUGUUCGGACCCGAAAGAUGGUGAACUAUGCGUGGAUAGGGUGAAGCCAGAGGAAACUCUGGUGGAGGCUCGCAGCGGUUCUGACGUGCAAAUCGAUCGUCAAAUCUGCGCAUGGGGGCGAAAGACUAAUCGAACCUCUAGUAGU